CCUACGGGGGGCAGCAGUGAGGAAUAUUGGUCAAUGGACGAGAGUCUGAACCAGCCAAGUAGCGUGAAGGAUGACUGCCCUAUGGGUUGUAAACUUCUUUUAUAUGGGAAUAAAAUGUUCCACGUGUGGGAUUUUGUAUGUACCAUAUGAAUAAGGAUCGGCUAACUCCGUGCCAGCAGCCGCGGUAAUACGGAGGAUCCGAGCGUUAUCCGGAUUUAUUGGGGUUAAAGGGAGCGUAGGUGGAUUGUUAAGUCAGUUGUGAAAGUUUGCGGCUCAACCGUAACAUUGCAGUUGAAACUGGCAGUCUUGAGUACAGUAGAGGUGGGCGGAAUUCGUGGUGUAGCGGUGAAAUGCUUAGAUAUCACGAAGAACUCCGAUUGCGAAGGCAGUUCACUGGACUGCAACUGACACUGAGGCUCGAAAGUGUGGGUAUCAAACAGGAUUAGAUACCCGAGUAGUC
This 460-nucleotide ribosomal RNA is filed under the name uncultured bacterium. RNAcentral's name for it is "partial 16S ribosomal RNA". It matches the Rfam family "Bacterial small subunit ribosomal RNA", at positions 338 to 795 of the family's 1533-position model. The record is from RNAcentral.